RNAcentral lists this ribosomal RNA (468 nucleotides) under uncultured bacterium. Its description in RNAcentral is "partial 16S ribosomal RNA". It matches the Rfam family "Bacterial small subunit ribosomal RNA", at positions 28 to 507 of the family's 1533-position model. The record is from RNAcentral.
GACGAACGCUGGCGGCGUGCUUAACACAUGCAAGUCGAACGGAAAGGCCCUGCUUUUGUUGGGUGCUCGAGCGGCGAACGGGUGAGUAACACGUGAGUAACCUGCCCUUGACUUUGGGAUAACUUCAGGAAACUGGGGCUCAUACCGGAUAUGAGCUCCUGCUGCAUGGUGGGGGUUGGAAAGUUUCGGCGGUUGGGGAUGGACUCGCGGCUUAUCAGCUUGUUGGUGGGGUAGUGGCUUACCAAGGCUUUGACGGGUAGCCGGCCUGAGAGGGUGACCGGGGACAAUGGGACUGAGAGACGGCCCAGAAUGGUACGGGAGGCAGUAGGGGGGAAUAUUGCAGAAUGGGCGGAAGUCUGAGGCAGCAACGCCGCGUGCGGGAUAACGGCCUUCGGGUGGUAAACCGAUGUCGACGGAGACGAAGAGUGAGUGACGGUAAUGGGUAAAGAAGCAACGGCUAACUACGUG